This 501-nucleotide ribosomal RNA is filed under the name Triticum aestivum (bread wheat). Its description in RNAcentral is "partial small subunit ribosomal RNA". Lineage: Eukaryota; Viridiplantae; Streptophyta; Magnoliopsida; Poales; Poaceae. The record is from RNAcentral.
AUGGUGGCAGGGGGCGGCAGAUCACAACAGGAGGAACCGCUAGAUGAGAAACCGAAGUACCUGAAUCUCAGGGAAGAUGAAGAAGAAGAUGUGGUCUUGGAGGAGGAUCAGGAAGAGCUAGAAAAGGAUGCGGAGUUCACGGUGAUAGCCCGGGUGCAUACUGCGAGAAAAUUUAGCCAUGGGGCCUUCUAUGGAACGAUGAGAUCUGCAUGGAAUCUUGCACGAGAAGUGGAGUUCAGAGCCAUAGAAGAUAAUUUGUUCUCUAUGCAGAUCACAUGCCUAGGGGAUUGGGAGAGAGUCAUGCAUGAUGGGCCUUGGAUAUUCCGAAACUGUCCAGAUUUACUUGCUCCUUAUGAUGGCUGGUCGGAGCCAAAUGAGGUGGAUCUGAAUACCUACCAGGUGUGGGUGAGGGUGAUGGGGUUGAAAGAGAAGAUAAGGAGUGUGAAUAUAGCCCAGCAAUUGGCAACGAAGGAAGGCACUAUUGUAAGAGUUGAUGAAUGA